Molecule: long non-coding RNA, 203 nt
Filed under: Capsicum annuum
Lineage: Eukaryota; Viridiplantae; Streptophyta; Magnoliopsida; Solanales; Solanaceae
Description: long non-coding RNA (CANN_LNC000437)
Source: RNAcentral
GAUACAGGUGCUUUAGCUCAUCAGGUUCAGCUUGAUGGCCCAUAUAUAAAGAAAAUGUUACAUGAGGUCUUGUGCAAUGUUGCAUGGAGCUUCCCUGAAUUCAUGGAACAGCCAGAAUAUCUCAUUGAACUUCUUGCUCGAAUGUCACUUGGCGAACGAUCCCCUAGCUCUCGACAAAAUCAUUUGGAAAUUGGAAUGCGCUG